AGCUAUUCUCAAUCUAUUGAAUUUUAAUUGGAAAACAUCAAAGCUUUGUGUUUCGCAAUUUUUUUUCAAGAAAAAAGAAUAUUUUAUAUAUACAUAAGUUAUGUACUGUUAAGUUUGUGGGUUUACCUCUUUGCAAAUAUAUAUGUCUUACCACUAAAUUCAUUCAGUAGGUUGAAAGAUCUAAAGCAUGUGACUGUGAGGUUGUAAACGGUUGGAGAUGGGUGGUAAAGUGAUUUAUUCCUUUUUAUCGUUUAUUAACUUUUGUAUUUCUUUUUUUGUGGUGGAUUGAUUCUUUAGUAUUUGAGAAUUGGUAUUAGA
Molecule: long non-coding RNA, 318 nt
Filed under: Glycine max (soybean)
Lineage: Eukaryota; Viridiplantae; Streptophyta; Magnoliopsida; Fabales; Fabaceae
Description: long non-coding RNA (GMAX_LNC001831)
Source: RNAcentral